Molecule: long non-coding RNA, 149 nt
Organism: Hibiscus syriacus
Lineage: Eukaryota; Viridiplantae; Streptophyta; Magnoliopsida; Malvales; Malvaceae
Exons: 3
Source: RefSeq, a predicted model, not a curated record
AUGCCCAACGAGAGAAUUUUUCACCGAGUUCGAGGAUGGGAACACUGGUGAAUGUGUGUACAUGAGGAACUCUAGCAGUUCUGAAGUGCUAGGCAAAGGCAAGGUUUUACUCAAGCUGACUUCUGGUAAAACUCUAGCUUUAAAUAAUG